RNAcentral lists this ribosomal RNA (253 nucleotides) under uncultured bacterium. Its description in RNAcentral is "partial 16S ribosomal RNA". It matches the Rfam family "Bacterial small subunit ribosomal RNA", at positions 524 to 776 of the family's 1533-position model. The record is from RNAcentral.
UACGUAGGGUGCGAGCGUUAAUCGGAAUUACUGGGCGUAAAGCGUGCGCAGGCGGUUUUGUAAGCCAGAUGUGAAAUCCCCGGGCUUAACCUGGGAAUGGCAUUUGGGACUGCAAGGCUCGAGUGCGGCAGAGGAGACUGGAAUUCCUGGUGUAGCAGUGAAACGCGUAGAUAUCAGGAGGAACACCGAUGGCGAAGGCAGGUCUCUGGGCUGACACUGACGCUCAUGCACGAAAGCGUGGGGAGCAAACAGG